AAUUACCCAAUCCUGACACAGGGAGGUAGUGACAAGAAAUAACAAUACAGGGCUUAAAGUCUUGUAAUUGGAAUGAUGGGAAUCUAAACCCUUCCCAGAGUAUCAAUUGGAGGGCAAGUCUGGUGCCAGCAGCCGCGGUAAUUCCAGCUCCAAUAGCGUAUAUUAAAGUUGUUGCAGUUAAGAAGCUCGUAGUUGAAUUUCUGCCUUGUCAUUAAUCUCGCUUCCGAGCGUUUUUUUAUUGACUUGGCAUCUUCCGGAUUUGGUGCCUUCGGGUACUAUUUUCCAGGAUUUACUUUGAGAAAACUAGAGUGUUUCAAACAGGCAUUCGCCUUGAAUACUACAGCAUGGAAUAAUGAAGUAGGACUUUGGUUCUAUUUUGUUGGUUAUUGAGCCAGAGUAAUGGUUAAUAGGAGCAGUUGGGGGCAUUCGUAUUUAA
This 436-nucleotide ribosomal RNA is filed under the name Babesia microti. RNAcentral's name for it is "SSU rRNA". It matches the Rfam family "Eukaryotic small subunit ribosomal RNA", at positions 439 to 901 of the family's 1831-position model. The record is from RNAcentral. Lineage: Eukaryota; Apicomplexa; Aconoidasida; Piroplasmida; Babesiidae.